CUGCUGCCUCCCGUAGGAGUCUGGUCCGUGUCUCAGUACCAGUGUGGGGGACCUUCCUCUCAGAACCCCUACGCAUCAUCGGUUAGGUGGGCCGUUACCCCGCCUACUGCCUAAUGCGCCGCAUGCCCAUCCCUGUCCGGCCGAAGCCUUUCCUGCCUCCGGGAUGCCCCGGUGGCAUGUACGCGGGUUUAGCCCGCCUUUCGGCGGGUUGUCCCCCUGACAGGGGCAGGUUGCAUACGUGUUACUCACCCGUGCGCCGGUCGCCGGCGGAG
RNAcentral lists this ribosomal RNA (272 nucleotides) under uncultured bacterium. RNAcentral describes it as "partial 16S ribosomal RNA". The record is from RNAcentral.